RNAcentral lists this transfer RNA (32 nucleotides) under Taphrospilus hypostictus. RNAcentral's name for it is "tRNA-Leu". The record is from RNAcentral. Lineage: Eukaryota; Metazoa; Chordata; Aves; Apodiformes; Trochilidae.
ACUUUUAAAGGAUAACAGUAAUCCACUGGUCU